This 433-nucleotide ribosomal RNA is filed under the name uncultured bacterium. Its description in RNAcentral is "partial 16S ribosomal RNA". It matches the Rfam family "Bacterial small subunit ribosomal RNA", at positions 29 to 507 of the family's 1533-position model. The record is from RNAcentral.
AACGAACGCUGGCGGCAUGCCUAACACAUGCAAGUCGAACGAGACCUUCGGGUCUAGUGGCGCACGGGUGCGUAACGCGUGGGAACCUGCCCUUAGGUUCGGAAUAACUCCCCGAAAGGGGUGCUAAUACCGGAUAAUGUCUUCGGACCAAAGAUUUAUCGCCUUUGGAUGGGCCCGCGUUGGAUUAGCUAGUUGGUAGGGUAAAAGCCUACCAAGGCGACGAUCCAUAGCUGGUCUGAGAGGAUGAUCAGCCACACUGGGACUGAGACACGGCCCAGACUCCUACGAGAGGCAGCAGUGGGGAAUAUUGGACAAUGGGCGAAAGCCUGAUCCAGCAAUGCCGCGUGAGUGAUGAAGGCCUUAGGGUUGUAAAGCUCUUUUACCCGGGAUGAUAAUGACAGUACCGGGAGAAUAAGCGCCGGCUAACUCCGUG